This 1644-nucleotide ribosomal RNA is filed under the name metagenome. RNAcentral describes it as "bacterial LSU rRNA". It matches the Rfam family "Bacterial large subunit ribosomal RNA", at positions 1205 to 2925 of the family's 2925-position model. The record is from RNAcentral.
GAUGUACUACAUGGUAGGGGAGCGUCGCAUACGGGGAGAAGCAUGACCGGAAGGACAUGUGGACUGUAUGGGAGUGAGAAUGCCGGAAUGAGUAGCGAGAAUUGCGUGAGAAUCGUAAUGGCCGAAAAUCUAAGGUUUCCAGGGGCAGGUUCGUCCGCCCUGGGUAAGCCGGGAGCUAAGGCGAGGCCGAAAGGCGUAGUCGAUGCACAUACGGUAGAGAUUCCGUAGCCGCUAAAGUUUAAGCACACUGACGUGUGAGUAAUCCAUGACCCGGGCGUUGGUUGCCCCGGGCGAAAGGGACUGAAAAUUAGUAGGGAAGCAUGGAGAGCUUGCAGCGAGAAAAGGUGUGAGGAACACUGAAGGCGCCCGUACCGCAAACCGACACAGGUAGAUGAGGAGAGAAUCCUAAGGCCAACGGGAGAAGGGUUGCUAAGGAACUCGGCAUAUUAACCCCGUAACUUCGGGAGAAGGGGUGCCUCCGAUAGAGAUAUCGAGGUCGCAGUGAAAAGGCCCAGGCGACUGUUUAUCAAAAACACAGGUCUCUGCAAAACCGAAAGGUGAAGUAUAGGGGCUGACGCCUGCCCGGUGCUGGAAGGUCAAGGGGAAUGCUUAGCGCAAGCGAAGGCAUGAACUUAAGCCCCAGUAAACGGCGGCCGUAACAAUAACGGUCCUAAGGUAGCGAAAUUCCUUGCCAGGUAAGUUCUGGCCCGCACGAAUGGCGUAACGAUCUGGGCACUGUCUCAACAGCCCGCCCGGCGAAAUUGUAGUACCGGUGAAGAUGCCGGUUACCCGCGACUAGACGGAAAGACCCCAUGGAGCUCUACUGUAGCCUGAUACUGAUACUUGAUCCAUUAUGUACAGGAUAGGUGGGAGACUGGGAAACUUAGGCGUCAGCUUAAGUGGAGUCGCCGUUGGGAUACCACUCUUGAUGGAUCAGGUAUCUAACCUGCAGCCGUGAAUCCGGCUGGGGGACAAUGUCAGGUGGGCAGUUUGACUGGGGCGGUCGCCUCCAAAAGAGUAACGGAGGCGUUCAAAGGUUAGCUCAGCGCGGACGGAAAUCGCGCAAUGAGUGCAAACGCAGAAGCUAGCCUAACUGCGAGACCCACAAGUCGAGCAGUAACGAAAGUUGGAGUUAGUGAUCAGGUGGUAGUGAGUGGAAAUGCCAUCGCUUAACGGAUAAAAGCUACCCUGGGGAUAACAGGCUGAUUUCCCCCAAGAGUUCACAUCGACGGGGAAGUUUGGCACCUCGAUGUCGGCUCAUCACAUCCUGGGGCUUGGAGAAGGUCCCAAGGGUUCGGCUGUCCGCCGAUUAAAGUGGUACGCGAGCUGGGUUCAGAACGUCGUGAGACAGUUCGGUCCCUAUCUGUCGUGGGCGUAGGAUAUUUGAGAGGAGCUGACCCUAGUACGAGAGGACCAGGUCGGACGCACCUCCGGUGCAUCAGUUGUACUGCCAAGUGCAUAGCUGAGUAGCCGCGUGCGGAUGGGAUAAACGCUGAAAGCAUCUAAGCGUGAAGCCCACCUCAAGAUGAGAUAUCCACAGCAAAAGCUGGUAUGGUCACUCGUAGACUACGAGUUUGAUAGGUCGGAGGUGUAAGCGAUGAAAGUCGCUGAGCUGACCGAUACUAAUAGACCGAGUGCUUGAGU